RNAcentral lists this ribosomal RNA (440 nucleotides) under uncultured bacterium. RNAcentral's name for it is "bacterial SSU rRNA". It matches the Rfam family "Bacterial small subunit ribosomal RNA", at positions 958 to 1398 of the family's 1533-position model. The record is from RNAcentral.
AACGCGAAGAACCUUACCUGGGCUCGAAAUGUGCAUGAAUCCGGCAGAAACGUCGGCGUCUCGCAAGAGACAUGUAUAUAGGUGCUGCAUGGCUGUCGUCAGCUCGUGUCGUGAGAUGUUGGGUUAAGUCCCGCAACGAGCGCAACCCUUAUCUUCAGUUGCUACCAUUUAGUUGAGCACUCUGACGAAACCGCCUCGGAUAACGGGGAGGAAGGUGGGGAUGACGUCAAGUCCUCAUGGCCUUUAUGUCCAGGGCUACACACGUGCUACAAUGGCCGGUACAAACCGCUGCAAACCCGCGAGGGGGAGCUAAUCGGAAAAAGCCGGCCUCAGUUCGGAUUGGAGUCUGCAACUCGACUCCAUGAAGCUGGAAUCGCUAGUAAUCGUGGAUCAGCAUGCCACGGUGAAUACGUUCCCGGGCCUUGUACACACCGCGCAUA